GACGAACGCUGGCGGCGUGCUUAACACAUGCAGGUCGAACGGAAAGGCCCUGCUUUUGUGGGGUGCUCGAGUGGCGAACGGGUGAGUAACACGUGAGUAACCUGCCCUUGACUUUGGGAUAACUUCAGGAAACUGGGGCUAAUACCGGAUAGGAGCUCCUGCUGCAUGGUGGGGGUUGGAAAGUUUCGGCGGUUGGGGAUGGACUCGCGGCUUAUCAGCUUGUUGGUGGGGUAGUGGCUUACCAAGGCUUUGACGGGUAGCCGGCCUGAGAGGGUGACCGGCCACAUUGGGACUGAGAUACGGCCCAGACUCCUACGGGAGGCAGCAGUAGGGAAUAUUGCACAAUGGGCGGAAGCCUGAUGCAGCAACGCCGCGUGCGGGAUGACGGCCUUCGGGUUGUAAACCGCUUUCGCCUGUGACGAAGCGUGAGUGACGGUAAUGGGUAAAGAAGCACCGGCUAACUACGUG
This 468-nucleotide ribosomal RNA is filed under the name uncultured bacterium. Its description in RNAcentral is "partial 16S ribosomal RNA". It matches the Rfam family "Bacterial small subunit ribosomal RNA", at positions 28 to 507 of the family's 1533-position model. The record is from RNAcentral.